RNAcentral lists this ribosomal RNA (460 nucleotides) under Veillonella parvula. RNAcentral describes it as "bacterial SSU rRNA". It matches the Rfam family "Bacterial small subunit ribosomal RNA", at positions 28 to 465 of the family's 1533-position model. Lineage: Bacteria; Bacillati; Bacillota; Negativicutes; Veillonellales; Veillonellaceae. The record is from RNAcentral.
GACGAACGCUGGCGGCGUGCUUAACACAUGCAAGUCGAACGAAGAGCGACGGAAGCUUGCUUCUAUCAAUCUUAGUGGCGAACGGGUGAGUAACGCGUAAUCAACCUGCCCUUCAGAGGGGGACAACAGUUGGAAACGACUGCUAAUACCGCAUACGAUCUAAUCUCGGCAUCGAGGAUGGAUGAAAGGUGGCCUCUACAUGUAAGCUAUCACUGAAGGAGGGGAUUGCGUCUGAUUAGCUAGUUGGAGGGGUAACGGCCCACCAAGGCGAUGAUCAGUAGCCGGUCUGAGAGGAUGAACGGCCACAUUGGGACUGAGACACGGCCCAGACUCCUACGGGAGGCAGCAGUGGGGAAUCUUCCGCAAUGGACGAAAGUCUGACGGAGCAACGCCGCGUGAGUGAUGACGGCCUUCGGGUUGUAAAGCUCUGUUAAUCGGGACGAAAGGCCUUCUUGCGAAU